RNAcentral lists this ribosomal RNA (433 nucleotides) under uncultured bacterium. RNAcentral describes it as "partial 16S ribosomal RNA". It matches the Rfam family "Bacterial small subunit ribosomal RNA", at positions 29 to 507 of the family's 1533-position model. The record is from RNAcentral.
AACGAACGCUGGCGGCAGGCCUAACACAUGCAAGUCGAGCGGACCCUUCGGGGUUAGCGGCGGACGGGUGAGUAACGCGUUGGAAUAUGCCCUUCUCUACGGAAUAGUCCUGGGAAACUGGGGGUAAUACCGUAUAUGCCCUUUGGGGGAAAGAUUUAUCGGGGAAGGAUUAGCCCGCGUUGGAUUAGGUAGUUGUUGGGGUAAUGGCCUACCAAGCCGACGAUCCAUAGCUGGUUUGAGAGGAUGAUCAGCCACACUGGGACUGAGACACGGCCCAGACUCCUACGGGAGGCAGCAGUGGGGAAUCUUAGACAAUGGGGGCAACCCUGAUCUAGCCAUGCCGCGUGAGUGAUGAAGGCCUUAGGGUUGUAAAGCUCUUUCAGCUGGGAAGAUAAUGACGGUACCAGCAGAAGAAGCCCCGGCUAACUCCGUG